CGACCCAUUUAUGUUGCUCUUCCCACUUAUUUGUCAACGCCCACUUUCAAACACACUCCACCUAUGCAGUUACACAUGAAUCUGUGGAAUACCUGUGGCAGAGCUAGCAGGGUAGGUUGUAGAGGCUCGGUCAGCAGGGUAGGUUGUAGAGGCUUGGCCAGCAGGGUAGGUUGUAGAGGCUUGGCCAGCAGGGUAGGUUGUAGAGGCUUGGCCAGCAGGGUAGGUUGUAGAGGCUUGGCCAGCAGGGUAGGUUGUAGAGGCUUGGCCAGCAGGGUAGGUUGUAGAGGCUUGGCCAGCAGGGUAGGUUGUAGAGGCUUGGUCAGCAGGGUAGGUUGUAGAGUUGUUAGGUGAUUUGACAGUAGAGUAGACUACAGAGAUG
Molecule: long non-coding RNA, 379 nt
Organism: Oncorhynchus tshawytscha (Chinook salmon)
Lineage: Eukaryota; Metazoa; Chordata; Actinopteri; Salmoniformes; Salmonidae
Exons: 3
Source: RefSeq, a predicted model, not a curated record